AUUGAACGCUGGCGGAAUGCUUUACACAUGCAAGUCGAACGGCAGCACGGACUUCGGUCUGGUGGCGAGUGGCGAACGGGUGAGUAAUGUAUCGGAACGUGCCAGUCGUGGGGGAUAACGUAGUGAAAAUUACGCUAAUACCGCAUACGAUCUAUGGAUGAAAGCGGGGGAUCGCAAGACCUCGCGCGAUUGGAGCGGCCGAUAUCAGAUUAGGUAGUUGGUGGGGUAAAGGCCCACCAAGCCAACGAUCUGUAGCUGGUCUGAGAGGACGACCAGCCACACUGGAACGAAGACACGGUCCAGACUCCUACGGGAGGCAGCAGUGGGGAAUUUUGGACAAGGGGCGAAAGCCUGAUCCAGCCAUUCCGCGUGCAGGAUGAAGGCCCUCGGGUUGUAAACUGCUUUUGUACAGAACGAAAAGGUUUCUACUAAUACUAGGAGCUCAUGACGGUACUGUAAGAAUAAGCACCGGCUAACUACGUGCCAGCAGCCGCCGUAA
Molecule: ribosomal RNA, 499 nt
Filed under: uncultured bacterium
Lineage: Bacteria
Description: partial 16S ribosomal RNA
Rfam family: Bacterial small subunit ribosomal RNA
Source: RNAcentral